RNAcentral lists this transfer RNA (71 nucleotides) under Phaeodactylibacter sp. RNAcentral's name for it is "tRNA-Met". It matches the Rfam family "tRNA". Rfam says of the family: Transfer RNA (tRNA) molecules are approximately 80 nucleotides in length. Their secondary structure includes four short double-helical elements and three loops (D, anti-codon, and T loops). Further hydrogen bonds mediate the characteristic L-shaped molecular structure. tRNAs have two regions of fundamental functional importance: the anti-codon, which is responsible for specific mRNA codon recognition, and the 3' end, to which the tRNAs corresponding amino acid is attached (by aminoacyl-tRNA synthetases). tRNAs cope with the degeneracy of the genetic code in two manners: having more than one tRNA (with a specific anti-codon) for a particular amino acid; and 'wobble' base-pairing, i.e. permitting non-standard base-pairing at the 3rd anti-codon position. The record is from RNAcentral. Lineage: Bacteria; Pseudomonadati; Bacteroidota; Saprospiria; Saprospirales; Haliscomenobacteraceae.
AGCAAGGUGGAGAAACGGCAUCUCGGGGGGCUCAUAACCCCCAGUUCCAGGUUCGAAUCCUGGCCUUGCAA